RNAcentral lists this long non-coding RNA (722 nucleotides) under Zonotrichia albicollis (white-throated sparrow). Its description in RNAcentral is "lncRNA (ENSZALG00000015357.1)". The record is from RNAcentral. Lineage: Eukaryota; Metazoa; Chordata; Aves; Passeriformes; Passerellidae.
UGCUGUUGUUAUCACUCAAACUAUUAUUAAUAGUAGUAGUACAUUUAAUGAACACUUACUUUUUUGUAGCACUGGAGAACUUCAUUGAGCAGUGAAGCACAAAGUCUUUGAUUCUGUGUAGUCUUGGGAGAGAUUGUGCUCAAAGGCCCAAUGGAGACAGAUGCCAGGCAGCUCUGUCUCCACAGCAGCAGCAUCUGAGGAGAGCAGCAAUCCUGGUGGCUUGGUAUGACAGCAGUGGCCCACCAACUCUGAGAUUUCUAUGAGGAUUACAGAAGACUGGACUGGCUGGACUAAAGCAGAGUUCCAAAAUGUCACCUGGCCAGGAGUUGCAUUGUCCCCUGACUUCCCAUGUUGCUCUGUACCUUGGCAAAUGAGGACUAUAUCUUUUCCACUGUCUUCUAACUUCUCAGGAGCACAAAGGCUCAGAGGCAGAGCCUGCCAGAGCAGGAAGUGUGGCUCAUCAAAGCUUGAAAAGCUGCAGCUCUCUGACCUGUGUGUCAAUACUCUGACAUGGUCUGUGCCUCACAAACUAGGGAAAUUAGAGGUGAGUGAUCACACAGUUCCUUCUUCCAAACUGGUGUUCCACCAAGUGGCCUGGAAGUACCACUCUAUCCAUCGCUUAGCAUCCCUUAGUCCCUUAUCGUGACUAGACAUGCAUCUUUAAAUGGUCCCUGUUUUUUGAAUAUGGGCCUGCAUGGCUGGUUCUAGUGUGUUAAGAUAUA